ACAGGCUUAACACAUGCAAGUCGAGGGGCAGCAUGGUCUUAGCUUGCUAAGACUGAUGGCGACCGGCGCACGGGUGAGUAACACGUAUCCAACCUGCCGUCUACUCUUGGACAGCCUUCUGAAAGGAAGAUUAAUACAAGAUGGCAUCAUGAGUCCGCAUGUUCACAUGAUUAAAGGUAUUCCGGUAGACGAUGGGGAUGCGUUCCAUUAGAUAGUAGGCGGGGUAACGGCCCACCUAGUCUUCGAUGGAUAGGGGUUCUGAGAGGAAGGUCCCCCACAUUGGAACUGAGACACGGUCCAAACUCCUACGGGAGGCAGCAGUGAGGAAUAUUGGUCAAUGGGCGAGAGCCUGAACCAGCCAAGUAGCGUGAAGGAUGACUGCCCUAUGGGUUGUAAACUUCUUUUAUAAAGGAAUAAAGUCGGGUAUGGAUACCCGUUUGCAUGUACUUUAUGAAUAAGGAUCGGCUAACUCCGUGCCAGCAGCCGCGGUAAUACGGAGGAUCCGAGCGUUAUCCGGAUUUAUUGGGUUUAAAGGGAGCGUAGAUGGAUGUUUAAGUCAGUUGUGAAAGUUUGCGGCUCAACCGUAAAAUUGCAGUUGAUACUGGAUAUCUUGAGUGCAGUUGAGGCAGGCGGAAUUCGUGGUGUAGCGGUGAAAUGCUUAGAUAUCACGAAGAACUCCGAUUGCGAAGGCAGCCUGCUAAGCUGCAACUGACAUUGAGGCUCGAAAGUGUGGGUAUCAAACAGGAUUAGAUACCCUGGUAGUCCACACGGUAAACGAUGAAUACUCGCUGUUUGCGAUAUACGGCAAGCGGCCAAGCGAAAGCGUUAAGUAUUCCACCUGGGGAGUACGCCGGCAACGGUGAAACUCAAAGGAAUUGACGGGGGCCCGCACAAGCGGAGGAACAUGUGGUUUAAUUCGAUGAUACGCGAGGAACCUUACCCGGGCUUAAAUUGCAGAUGAAUUACGGUGAAAGCCGUAAGCCGCAAGGCAUCUGUGAAGGUGCUGCAUGGUUGUCGUCAGCUCGUGCCGUGAGGUGUCGGCUUAAGUGCCAUAACGAGCGCAACCCUUGUUGUCAGUUACUAACAGGUUCCGCUGAGGACUCUGACAAGACUGCCAUCGUAAGAUGUGAGGAAGGUGGGGAUGACGUCAAAUCAGCACGGCCCUUACGUCCGGGGCUACACACGUGUUACAAUGGGGGGUACAGAGGGCCGCUACCACGCGAGUGGAUGCCAAUCCCAAAAACCUCUCUCAGUUCGGACUGGAGUCUGCAACCCGACUCCACGAAGCUGGAUUCGCUAGUAAUCGCGCAUCAGCCACGGCGCGGUGAAUACGUUCCCGGGCCUUGUACACACCGCCCGUCAAGCCAUGGGAGCCGGGGGUACCUGAAGUGCGUAACCGCGAGGAGCGCCCUAGGGUAAAACUGGUGACUGGGCCUAA
This 1438-nucleotide ribosomal RNA is filed under the name uncultured organism. RNAcentral describes it as "SSU rRNA". It matches the Rfam family "Bacterial small subunit ribosomal RNA". The record is from RNAcentral.